RNAcentral lists this ribosomal RNA (253 nucleotides) under uncultured bacterium. RNAcentral's name for it is "partial 16S ribosomal RNA". It matches the Rfam family "Bacterial small subunit ribosomal RNA", at positions 524 to 776 of the family's 1533-position model. The record is from RNAcentral.
UACGGAGGGUCCGAGCGUUAUCCGGAAUCACUGGGUUUAAAGGGUGCGCAGGCGGCGUCGUAAGUCAGGGGUGAAAGGCCGUAGCUUAACUAUGGGACUGCCCUUGAUACUGCGGUGCUCGGAUCAGGAUGAGGUAAGCGGAAUGCGGCAUGUAGCGGUGAAAUGCAUAGAUAUGCCGUGGAACACCGAUUGCGAAGGCAGCUUACUGGACCUGUAUCGACGCUGAGGCACGAAAGCGUGGGGAGCGAACAGG